UGAAGCUGGAAUUGUCUAGUAAUCACAGGUCAGCAUACUGUGGUGAAUACGUUCCCGGGCCUUGUACACACCGCCCGUCACACCAUGAGAGUUGAGAAUACCCGAAGCCCAUGUCAAAGUGGUCGAAGGUAGGCUUGAUGAUUGGGGUGAAGUCGUAACAAGGUAGC
This 167-nucleotide ribosomal RNA is filed under the name uncultured bacterium. RNAcentral's name for it is "partial 16S ribosomal RNA". It matches the Rfam family "Bacterial small subunit ribosomal RNA", at positions 1321 to 1500 of the family's 1533-position model. The record is from RNAcentral.